CCUCCUACGCUGCCCCUCUGGAGCCCCCUAACCACAAAUGGGUCACAGUCCUCUCAAGCAGUUCCAACAUCUAUCUGUUGUGGGGGACCUCCCUGCAUUGCAGAUUAAAGUUCUUCUACACCACCGAAAUGGAAACCACAAGCUGUUUGUAACCAGAUGGUGUCCAUGUGUUGGCAGUGGGUCUUCUGAUGCUGCUCCACCAAAGCUGGCAAAGGCACAGGCUGGAAAGACGUGAGAAAUUUCAAGAUCAGAAGAGGAAGAGCUCCUGCUAGGCUUUGUCCCACUGUAGAUCCCUCACUCAUUCAGCAUGCGGGAGAGGACUGGCUCUGUCUAAAAUAACAAAGGUAUAUUUUAAGAAUAAGACUCCCAAUUCAUCCAGGAUAUUGCCAAAAGCCUUUUUCUCUCCUUAAAAAAUCCCAUCACGUGUGGUCUCCUCUGUAGUUCAAUGCGUAGCUUAGCUUGACUUUUCCACUCAUCCUGUGCUCAUCCCCAAGGACAAGUCAUGCAUUCCAUCUCCAGGACCUCCCACACUUGAGGACCAGCUCUGCCCUCCCUCUGUGCUGCAGUAAUUGCUGCCUCCCCUGUGAGAAGGAGGGGUCUCACAUUAAUUUCUCUGAGGAGAAUGCCAGUAAUUUUUUUAGGCAGUUUUAUUUCCUCAGUAAUUUUAAGUUCAUCAGCUCACUGUUGUGCCUCGACCUAGCAGAAAGCCCUCAUUAGUCUGCCUUGCUCCUCUUCUCUCCCUCUUCUUGGGACAAGAUGGCUGGGAUUGUCUUUGUAAAAGACAG
Molecule: long non-coding RNA, 785 nt
Filed under: Phasianus colchicus (ring-necked pheasant)
Lineage: Eukaryota; Metazoa; Chordata; Aves; Galliformes; Phasianidae
Description: lncRNA (ENSPCLG00000018674.1)
Source: RNAcentral